This 253-nucleotide ribosomal RNA is filed under the name uncultured bacterium. RNAcentral describes it as "partial 16S ribosomal RNA". It matches the Rfam family "Bacterial small subunit ribosomal RNA", at positions 524 to 776 of the family's 1533-position model. The record is from RNAcentral.
UACAGAGGUCCCAAGCGUUGUUCGGAUUCACUGGGCGUAAAGGGUGCGCAGGUGGUCGGGUAAGUCUGAUGUGAAAUCCCGCAGCUUAACUGCGGAAUGGCAUUGGAUACUAUUUGGCUAGAGGGUUGGAGGGGGGACUGGAAUUCUCGGUGUAGCAGUGAAAUGCGUAGAUAUCGAGAGGAACACCAGUGGCGAAGGCGAGUCCCUGGACAACUCCUGACGCUGAGGCGCGAAAGCCAGGGGAGCAAACGGG